This 207-nucleotide ribosomal RNA is filed under the name uncultured bacterium. Its description in RNAcentral is "partial 16S ribosomal RNA". It matches the Rfam family "Bacterial small subunit ribosomal RNA", at positions 524 to 731 of the family's 1533-position model. The record is from RNAcentral.
UACAGAGGUGGCAAGCGUUGUUCGGAAUUACUGGGCGUAAAGGGCGCGUAGGCGGUUCGUUAAGUCCUGUGUGAAAGCCCCGGGCUCAACCUGGGAACUGCAAUGGAAACUGGCGGGCUUGAAUGCGGCAGAGGGGGUGGAAUUCCGCGUGUAGCAGUGAAAUGCGUAGAGAUGCGGAGGAACACCGAUGGCGAAGGCAGGCCCUCG